RNAcentral lists this microRNA precursor (218 nucleotides) under Marmota monax (woodchuck). Lineage: Eukaryota; Metazoa; Chordata; Mammalia; Rodentia; Sciuridae. The record is from RNAcentral.
ACUUGGAGAAUGAACAAUAGGUUACUGAAUGAUCAAUGGGUUAUAGAAGACAUCAAGGAGGAAAUUAAAAAAUUCUUAGAACUGCUUUCAAUGUGUCCCAUAGAUUCCGAUAUGUUGUGUCUGUGUUUUCAUUAAUCUGUAAGAAUUUUUUAAUUUCUUCCUUGAUGUCUUCUAUAACCCAUUGAUCAUUCAGUAACCUAUUGUUCAUUCUCCAAGUG